AUGUCCUACGGGAGGCAGCAGUGGGGGAUAUUGCACAAUGGGGGAAACCCUGAUGCAGCGACGCCGCGUGAGCGAUGAAGUAUUUCGGUAUGUAAAGCUCUCUCAGCAGGGAAGAAAAUGACGGUACCUGACUAAGAAGCCCCGGCUAACUACGUGCCAGCAGCCGCGGUAAUACGUAGGGGGCAAGCGUUAUCCGGAUUUACUGGGUGUAAAGGGAGCGUAGACGGCAGUGCAAGUCUGAAGUGAAAGCCAAGGCCUCAACCCUUGGACUGCUUUGGUAACUGUGC
RNAcentral lists this ribosomal RNA (287 nucleotides) under uncultured bacterium. Its description in RNAcentral is "partial 16S ribosomal RNA". It matches the Rfam family "Bacterial small subunit ribosomal RNA", at positions 334 to 638 of the family's 1533-position model. The record is from RNAcentral.